UUGCUUCAGCAGCACAUAUAUUAAAAUUAGAACAAUACAGAGAAGAUUAGCAUGGCCCUUGCACAGGAAUGACACACACAUUCUCGAAGCAUUCUAUAUUUUA
RNAcentral lists this small nuclear RNA (103 nucleotides) under Laticauda laticaudata (blue-ringed sea krait). The record is from RNAcentral. Lineage: Eukaryota; Metazoa; Chordata; Lepidosauria; Squamata; Elapidae.